AUUGAACGCUGGCGGCAGGCCUAACACAUGCAAGUCGAGCGAGCGGCGGACGGGUGAGUAAUGUCUGGGGACUGCCCGAUAGAGGGGGCUAACUACUGGAAACGGUAGCUAAUACCGCAUACUAUCGGAUAACCCAUAUGGGAUUAGCUAGUAGGUGAGGUAAUGGCUCACCUAGGCGACGCUCCCUAGCUGGUCUGAGAGGAUGAUCAGCCAUACUGGGACUGAGACACGGCCCAUACGCCUACGGAGGCAGCAGUGGGGAAUAUUGCACAAUGGGCGCAAGCCUGAUGCAGCCAGGCCGCGUGUAUGAAGAAGGCCCUAGGGUUGUAAAGUACUUUCAGUCGGGAGGCGUUACCGACAGAAGAAGCACCGGCUAACUCCGUGCCAGCAGCCGCGGUAAUAC
This 403-nucleotide ribosomal RNA is filed under the name uncultured bacterium. RNAcentral's name for it is "partial 16S ribosomal RNA". It matches the Rfam family "Bacterial small subunit ribosomal RNA", at positions 30 to 526 of the family's 1533-position model. The record is from RNAcentral.